GACACGCCACGUCAGAAAUUGCUGACGUGAUUAAUUGUGUGGGAUCUUAAUAAGCUUACGUGGCAAAAAAUAAUAAUUUAUUAUUCAUUACAUAAACAAAUCAUUUUAUAUCAUAGACAAAAUCGUCAAUCCCCCAAUUCUAAAUUCGUCGAUCGAAUAAAAUACUUGUGCAAAAAAAAUCUUCCUGUAUUUCAUCAGAACAAUUUCAAAAUACAAACAACCAAAAAAGAUUUAAAAAAUUAAAUUAAAUUAAUUCAAAUUUCAAAUACAUGGAACAAGAACCACGCACACUCUCCUAAACCCAAAACCAAUCACCACCGCCGAAAACCUACCACCACGCCAUCCUGACCAAUCCCCACCACUACCACUAUCCCUGCCCCAUACCACUGAAAACCUCAACAACAUCACCAUCUAAACUUCUAUUUUUUUUUUCUUUCGAAAACCCACUAUCACAACUAAACUCAAAAAGUUUACUGAUGGAAAAAUAUUACAUGGAGAUCUCCGGAAGAGAAGGGGGUUGUUGCUGCCGUUCCAAGUUCUGCCCAAUUACAGUCGUAGUUCCGCCAAAUUGCAAAUCUUUCUUUUUACCCCUCUCACCCAAUUACAGUUACGCCGGGUUGCCGUGCCGUUAUAAGUGAUGAUGGCGAUGGGUCCAAUACCGGUUUUUUCGUACCCCACCCACUGUAUUUUCUUUUUCAUUUUUUAUUUUUUGGAUCUGAGAAUGCAUGGUUGUGUCGGUAUUCGGUAAAGAUCGGGAGUUAGAGAAGUGGCGCGGCAGAUAUUGAGUAUAGUUUCUGGGUUAUUCUCUGAUUUGAGAAGAGAGAGAGCAGCUCGGGACUUUAAUCGAAGCUUAUACAUAAAAUCCAUGGAUUGAUUAUAGGGUUUGGUUUUGGGGAGUAGGGUUUUACAGUGGAGAUUUGAAAAUUAGAAAGAUGGAGAGAGUUUGGUAGAGAUCGGAAAGUAGGGUUUUACAGUGUAGAUUUGAAAAUUAGGAAGAUGGAGAUUUUUGGUUGCAAAUCUUGAUCUUCGAUGUUUGGCUAAAAUGAGUUUUUUUUUUUAUGAUUUUUGAUGGUUUUAGAUUUUGUUGUUUUUGAUUAGUAUUAUUGUAUAAUAUAAAGUGGUUUGACAAAUUUACCCUUUCAUAUAUAAUAAUUGUGUAAUUAAAUAUUAAAAUAUUCUUU
This 1181-nucleotide long non-coding RNA is filed under the name Panax ginseng (ginseng). RNAcentral's name for it is "long non-coding RNA (PGIN_LNC015635)". Lineage: Eukaryota; Viridiplantae; Streptophyta; Magnoliopsida; Apiales; Araliaceae. The record is from RNAcentral.